AUGGAAAAAUGGGUUGUCCGCAUUGCAUGGGAUACACCAAAGCAUUUACGUUGGAUAAAGGUGGGAAAAGCUCAUGGUGAACAAGAACAAGAACAAGGAACAACAUCAACAACACCAACACCAACAAUAGCAGAAGCCGUUACUGUCAAACUUUCCAGCAAUAACUCUAAACUAAGAGUCUGUUAUUGGGAGGAGGCUUAA
Vicia faba (fava bean) is the source of this 201-nucleotide non-coding RNA. The record is from the annotation of a GenBank genome assembly. Lineage: Eukaryota; Viridiplantae; Streptophyta; Magnoliopsida; Fabales; Fabaceae.